RNAcentral lists this long non-coding RNA (713 nucleotides) under Nicotiana benthamiana. Its description in RNAcentral is "long non-coding RNA (NBEN_LNC002471)". The record is from RNAcentral. Lineage: Eukaryota; Viridiplantae; Streptophyta; Magnoliopsida; Solanales; Solanaceae.
CCAAACCAAAGAAACUUUUAUUAGGCACAUGCCUAAUACUUAUUCAAUGAAAUGGACAUCAUCAAUAAUCACUCUUUAACCGAGAUGUAAUGAGUGGGUACUUGAGCAUUGAGAGUCAUAACAAACCCUGAUCUACCAAGCAUGCAUUGAUUUACUCUACCCAUUAGGUUUACACCUAGGUGACGGUUACAACCCUAGGCUUUUCCCUAUUUGACAAAAACAUCAAAAACAUUUCAAUCAUUAUUUCCGUACUAGUUAGUUUAAUCUCUUAGCAGUUAAUUUAGAUUACAGUUACCCACCUUUGCUUGGUUAUUUGAAUUCAAACUGCUUGUUUAGUGUAUUAAUCACUUUGCCUUAAAGAAAGGCCACGACAGGUUGCAUCAACUUCAUCUUAUUUCAAAGUAAAAUCGCAGCAGAAGCCCCCAGAGAUGGUCAUACAGUAUAAAUGAAUAUAUUCUUACAACGUGCCACAGGAAGCAACAAGCAAAUUUUAGAUGGGAUAUGCAAGAAAGGUAGGUCAAUAUAUCCACAAACUGAUUAACAUUUCGUGCUGUGGAAGAUCAACUUUGUACUUCUUAUGGUACAAUCGAAUUAUAAUGCCUUGAAAAAAUAUUGAUGACAGAAAUUCCUUGGUGACCUGUUUGUAAGGGAAAACGGCUGAGAAAAGCUUCUUACUUUGGUUGUCUUGUAAGCGACUGGAGCGCCCUCCCCCC